UACAGAGGGUGCGAGCGUUAAUCGGAAUUACUGGGCGUAAAGCGUGCGUAGACGGUUAUCUAAGUCGGAUGUGAAAGCCCCGGGCUCAACCUGGGAAUUGCAUUCGAGACUGAAUAGCUAGGGUACGGUAGAGGGAAGCGGAAUUUCCGGUGUAGCGGUGAAAUGCGUAGAUAUCGGAAGGAACAUCAGUGGCGAAAGCGGCUUCCUGGACCAGUACCGACGUUCAGGAGCGAAAGCCAGGGGAGCAAACGGG
RNAcentral lists this ribosomal RNA (253 nucleotides) under uncultured bacterium. RNAcentral describes it as "partial 16S ribosomal RNA". It matches the Rfam family "Bacterial small subunit ribosomal RNA", at positions 524 to 776 of the family's 1533-position model. The record is from RNAcentral.